RNAcentral lists this transfer RNA (56 nucleotides) under Triticum aestivum (bread wheat). It matches the Rfam family "tRNA", at positions 10 to 63 of the family's 71-position model. From Rfam's summary of the family: Transfer RNA (tRNA) molecules are approximately 80 nucleotides in length. Their secondary structure includes four short double-helical elements and three loops (D, anti-codon, and T loops). Further hydrogen bonds mediate the characteristic L-shaped molecular structure. tRNAs have two regions of fundamental functional importance: the anti-codon, which is responsible for specific mRNA codon recognition, and the 3' end, to which the tRNAs corresponding amino acid is attached (by aminoacyl-tRNA synthetases). tRNAs cope with the degeneracy of the genetic code in two manners: having more than one tRNA (with a specific anti-codon) for a particular amino acid; and 'wobble' base-pairing, i.e. permitting non-standard base-pairing at the 3rd anti-codon position. Lineage: Eukaryota; Viridiplantae; Streptophyta; Magnoliopsida; Poales; Poaceae. RNAcentral also lists the same sequence under 3 other names. The record is from Rfam by way of RNAcentral.
ACUCAGUUGGUAGAGUACAAAGCUCUUAACCUUAUGGACGUGGGUUCAAGCCCCAU